UGGGGCAUUGUCUAAUGGUAGGACGCAUGAUUCUGGUUCAUGAGGUCGGGGUUCGACUCCCUGUGCCCCAGCCA
RNAcentral lists this transfer RNA (74 nucleotides) under Nitrospina sp. RNAcentral's name for it is "tRNA-Gln". It matches the Rfam family "tRNA". Rfam says of the family: Transfer RNA (tRNA) molecules are approximately 80 nucleotides in length. Lineage: Bacteria; Pseudomonadati; Nitrospinota; Nitrospinia; Nitrospinales; Nitrospinaceae. The record is from RNAcentral.